AGAGGUGCCCCGCUGUUGCUGU
Molecule: microRNA, 22 nt
Filed under: Gallus gallus (chicken)
Lineage: Eukaryota; Metazoa; Chordata; Aves; Galliformes; Phasianidae
Description: gga-miR-6548-3p
Source: miRBase by way of RNAcentral